AGUGAACGCUGGCGGUAGGCCUAAUACAUGCAAGUCGAACGGCCGCACAGUAAGAGCUUGCUCUUACGGGUGGCGAGUGGCGGACGGGUGAGGAAUACAUCGGAAUCUACUUUUUCGUGGGGGAUAACGUAGGGAAACUUACGCUAAUACCGCAUACGACCUACGGGUGAAAUCAGGGGAUCUUCGGACCUUGCGCGAUUGAAUGAGCUGAUGUCGGAUUAGCUAGUUGGCGGGGUAAAGGCCCACCAAGGCGACGAUCCGUAGCUGGUCUGAGAGGAUGAUCAGCCACACUGGAACUGAGACACGGUCCAGACUCCUACGGGAGGCAGCAGUGGGGAAUAUUGGACAAUGGGCGCAAGCCUGAUCCAGCCAUACCGCGUGGGUGAAGAAGGCCUUCGGGUUGUAAAGCCCUUUUGUUGGGAAAGAAAAGCAGCAGGUUAAUACCCCGCUGUUCUGACGGUACCCAAAGAGUAAGCACCGGCUAACUUCGUG
Molecule: ribosomal RNA, 492 nt
Filed under: uncultured bacterium
Lineage: Bacteria
Description: partial 16S ribosomal RNA
Rfam family: Bacterial small subunit ribosomal RNA
Source: RNAcentral